UAACAUUGUAUGUCAAUUUGGGUAAAAUAAUUACCCGUUUUAGCCCAUAUUUGUUUUCUUACACGCUAUAGCCUUCGAUCCACCGGCGGCGUCUCCCACUGUUUCCCGUCCAAACAGCCACCAGCAACAUACCCUUUCUCCACCACCAUCUCACUGUCCCAACCACUUUUACACACCAUAGAACCAUCAUAGGAACGUAUAAACAGACCCAUAAACCCCUAACCCACUGGUCAUCACCUUCACCUUCUCGUCAACACCCCGUCGCCGUCGUCGGUGGUUGCGUCGUCACCGUACAGCUCGGAUCUAGCCAGACUGGCCGAUGAUUUGAACCCCGAUGAAGUCACUUUUGUGACGUUUGACGCUGUGUUUUACGCUGCUAGAGAAGUCGCCGGAGAGGUUGUCACCGGCGUCCUCUUCGUUGUACGGAUCUCCACCGGAGGAGUUUGUCUUCUUCAUCUACCACCAGAUCUACACCAGAUCUCCCGUUGAUGGUGGUUGCGCCGUCGCCAGAUCUAGGAUUCCGCCGCCGACAGCCACAGCGGGUAAAAACUCCGGCUGCGACUACCACUGCUCCAUCUCUCACACCACCGCCACUGCCAGCCCCUUCCCCUUUUCCCUUUCUUCUCCGGUGAAAAACCGAUGCUCCGGCGAACUCCGUCAACAACACGGUGACAAACCACAACAUAUAAGUGGUAGUCUGUAGGCGUGAAACCACCAACCCCGCCAUAGUAGCCGUGAAACAACCAUCUUCACCACCUCCAUGCCGCCACAAACUAGCCGGAGCAAUGACGGAGCUAUGCCCAAACACAGCAGAUCUGGGCACAAAACUCCGGCGAAGGGCUGUUGUUGUUGUUAUGAAAUUUCUGGCAUAUCUGGCCGGAAUUAGUGUUUGGUGUUGUUGUAUUCACUAAUACGGCGAUUGUAUUCACUUUUUUGAGCUUUUUUUGUUAAAAUUUUAGAUUGUAUUCAUUUUUUUUUUUGUCGACAGAUCUGCCGGAACUAGUGGUUGGUGUUAUUGUAUUCACGAAUACGGCAAUUGUAUUCACUUUUUUGAGCUUUUUUAGAUUUGUUAAUUUUUGGUGUAUCUAUAUUUUUAUGUAUUCAGUUUUACUCGAUGUAUUCAUGAAUACAACGAGCCCGUUUAUGAAUACAGAUAGUCAUUUCAUGA
This is a long non-coding RNA of Lycium ferocissimum, 1168 nucleotides long. RefSeq lists it as uncharacterized. The record is from RefSeq and is a predicted model, not a curated record. The transcript has 2 exons. Lineage: Eukaryota; Viridiplantae; Streptophyta; Magnoliopsida; Solanales; Solanaceae.